GAUGAACGCUGGCGGCGUGCCUAAUACAUGCAAGUCGAGCGAACAGAUGAGGAGCUUGCUCCUCUGACGUUAGCGGCGGACGGGUGAGUAACACGUGGAUAACCUACCUAUCAUACUGGGAUAACUUCGGGAAACCGGAGCUAAUACCGGAUAAUAUAUUGAACCGCAUGGUUCAAUAGUGAAAGACGGUUUUGCUGUCACUUAUAGAUGGAUCCGCGCCGCAUUAGCUAGUUGGUAAGGUAACGGCUUACCAAGGCAACGAUGUGUAGCCGACCUGAGAGAGUGAUCGGCCACCUGGGAACUUAGACACGGUCCAGACUACUACGGGAGGCAGCAGUAGGGAAUCUUACGCAAUGGGCGAGAGCCUGACGGAGCAACGCCGCGUGAGUGACGAAGGUCUUCGGAUCGUAAAAAUCUGUUAUUAGGUAAGAACAAAUGUGUAAGUAACUAUGCACGUAUUGACGGUACCUAAUCAGAAAGCCACGGCUAACUACGUG
Molecule: ribosomal RNA, 497 nt
Filed under: uncultured bacterium
Lineage: Bacteria
Description: partial 16S ribosomal RNA
Rfam family: Bacterial small subunit ribosomal RNA
Source: RNAcentral